UAGGGAAUUUUCCACAAUGGGCGAAAGCCUGAUGGAGCAACGCCGCGUGCAGGAUGAAGGCUUUCGGGUCGUAAACUGCUUUUAUGUAUGAUGAUUAUGACAGUAGUACAUGAAUAAGGAUCGGCUAACUCCGUGCCAGCAGCCGCGGUCAUACGGAGGAUCCAAGCGUUAUCCGGAAUUACUGGGCGUAAAGAGUUGCGUAGGUGGCAGAGUAAGUAGAUAGUGAAAGCAUACGGCUCAACCGUAUAUACAUUAUUUAAACUGCUCAGCUAGAGGAUGAGAGAGGUAGAUGGAAUUUCCAGUGUAGGAGUGAAAUCCGUAGAUAUUGGAAGGAACACCGAUGGCGUAGGCAGUCUACUGGCUUAUUCCUGACACUAAGGCACGAAAGCGUGGGGAGCAAACGGGAUUAGAUACCCGUGUAGUCC
Molecule: ribosomal RNA, 425 nt
Filed under: uncultured bacterium
Lineage: Bacteria
Description: bacterial SSU rRNA
Rfam family: Bacterial small subunit ribosomal RNA
Source: RNAcentral